This 1372-nucleotide ribosomal RNA is filed under the name uncultured bacterium. Its description in RNAcentral is "bacterial SSU rRNA". It matches the Rfam family "Bacterial small subunit ribosomal RNA", at positions 28 to 1381 of the family's 1533-position model. The record is from RNAcentral.
GAUGAACGCUGGCGGCGUGCCUAAUACAUGCAAGUCGAGCGAACGGACGAGAAGCUUGCUUUUCUGAUGUUAGCGGCGGACGGGUGAGUAACACGUGGAUAACCUACCUAUAAGACUGGGAUAACUUCGGGAAACCGGGGCUAAUACCGGAUAAUAUUUUGAACCGCAUGGUUCAAAAGUGAAAGACGGUCUUGCUGUCACUUAUAGAUGGAUCCGCGCUGCAUUAGCUAGUUGGUAAGGUAACGGCUUACCAAGGCAACGAUGCAUAGCCGACCUGAGAGGGUGAUCGGCCACACUGGAACUGAGACACGGUCCAGACUCCUACGGGAGGCAGCAGUAGGGAAUCUUCCGCAAUGGGCGAAAGCCUGACGGAGCGACGCCGCGUGAGUGAUGAAGGUCUUCGGAUCGUAAAACUCUGUUAUUAGGGAAGAACAUAUGUGUAAGUAACUGUGCACAUCUUGACGGUACCUAAUCAGAAAGCCACGGCUAACUACGUGCCAGCAGCCGCGGUAAUACGUAGGUGGCAAGCGUUAUCCGGAAUUAUUGGGCGUAAAGCGCGCGUAGGCGGUUUUUUAAGUCUGAUGUGAAAGCCCACGGCUCAACCGUGGAGGGUCAUUGGAAACUGGAAAACUUGAGUGCAGAAGAGGAAAGUGGAAUUCCAUGUGUAGCGGUGAAAUGCGCAGAGAUGUGGAGGAACACCAGUGGCGAAGGCGACUUUCUGGUCUGUAACUGACGCUGAUGUGCGAAAGCGUGGGGAUCAAACAGGAUUAGAUACCCUGGUAGUCCACGCCGUAAACGAUGAGUGCUAAGUGUUAGGGGGUUUCCGCCCCUUAGUGCUGCAGCUAACGCAUUAAGCACUCCGCCUGGGGAGUACGACCGCAAGGUUGAAACUCAAAGGAAUUGACGGGGGCCCGCACAAGCGGUGGAGCAUGUGGUUUAAUUCGAAGCAACGCGAAGAACCUUACCAAAUCUUGACAUCCUUUGACAACUCUAGAGAUAGAGCCUUCCCCUUCGGGGGACAAAGUGACAGGUGGUGCAUGGUUGUCGUCAGCUCGUGUCGUGAGAUGUUGGGUUAAGUCCCGCAACGAGCGCAACCCUUAAGCUUAGUUGCCAUCAUUAAGUUGGGCACUCUAAGUUGACUGCCGGUGACAAACCGGAGGAAGGUGGGGAUGACGUCAAAUCAUCAUGCCCCUUAUGAUUUGGGCUACACACGUGCUACAAUGGACAAUACAAAGGGCAGCGAAACCGCGAGGUCAAGCAAAUCCCAUAAAGUUGUUCUCAGUUCGGAUUGUAGUCUGCAACUCGACUACAUGAAGCUGGAAUCGCUAGUAAUCGUAGAUCAGCAUGCUACGGUGAAUACGUUCCCGGGUCU